Molecule: small RNA, 29 nt
Filed under: Bombyx mori (domestic silkworm)
Lineage: Eukaryota; Metazoa; Arthropoda; Insecta; Lepidoptera; Bombycidae
Description: ovarian small RNA-33673
Source: RNAcentral
UGCCAGAGCCCCUCGCUUCCGGCAGCGUC